CAACGAUCAGUAGCCGACCUGAGAGGGUGACCGGCCACAUUGGGACUGAGACACGGCCCAAACUCCUACGGGAGGCAGCAGUGGGGAAUAUUGCACAAUGGGGGAAACCCUGAUGCAGCGACGCCGCGUGAGCGAAGAAGUAUUUCGGUAUGUAAAGCUCUAUCAGCAGGGAAGAAAAUGACGGUACCUGACUAAGAAGCACCGGCUAAAUACGUGCCAGCAGCCGCGGUAAUACGUAUGGUGCAAGCGUUAUCCGGAUUUACUGGGUGUAAAGGGAGCGUAGACGGCUGUGUAAGUCUGAAGUGAAAGCCCGGGGCUCAACCCCGGGACUGCUUUGGAAACUAUGCAGCUAGAGUGUCGGAGAGGUAAGUGGAAUUCCCAGUGUAGCGGUGAAAUGCGUAGAUAUUGGGAGGAACACCAGUGGCGAAGGCGGCUUACUGGACGAUGACUGACGUUGAGGCUCGAAAGCGUGGGGAGCAAACAGGAUUAGAUACCCUGGUAGUCC
Molecule: ribosomal RNA, 505 nt
Filed under: uncultured bacterium
Lineage: Bacteria
Description: bacterial SSU rRNA
Rfam family: Bacterial small subunit ribosomal RNA
Source: RNAcentral